This 397-nucleotide ribosomal RNA is filed under the name uncultured bacterium. Its description in RNAcentral is "partial 16S ribosomal RNA". It matches the Rfam family "Bacterial small subunit ribosomal RNA", at positions 523 to 918 of the family's 1533-position model. The record is from RNAcentral.
AUACGUAGGUGACAAGCGUUAUCCGGAUUUACUGGGCGUAAAGGGCGUGUAGGCGGUCUUGCAAGUCAGAAGUGAAAUUCCUGAGCUCAACUCGGGCGCUGCUUCUGAAACUGCAGGACUUGAGUGCUGGAGGGGAUAGCGGAAUUCCUAGUGGAGCGGUAAAAUGCGCAGAUAUUAGGAAGAACACCGGUGGCGAAGGCGGCUAUCUGGACAGGAACUGACGCUGAGGCGCGAAAGCGUGGGGAGCAAACAGGAUUAGAUACCCGGGUAGUCCACGCCGUAAACGAUGAAUACUAGGUGUAGGGGGUAUCGACUCCCUCUGUGCCGCAGUUAACACAAUAAGUAUUCCGCCUGGGGAGUACGGCCGCAAGGUUGAAACUCAAAUGAAUUGACGGGG